UCGUCAGCUCGUGUCGUGAGAUGUUGGGUUAAGUCCCGCAACGAGCGCAACCCCUAUUGUUAGUUGCUACCAUUAAGUUGAGCACUCUAGCGAGACUGCCUGGGUUAACCAGGAGGAAGGUGGGGAUGACGUCAAAUCAUCAUGCCCCUUAUGUGUAGGGCUACACACGUGCUACAAUGGUAAGUACAGAGAGACGCAAAACCGUGAGGUCGAGCAAAUCCCUUAAAACUUGUCCCAGUUCGGAUUGUAGGCUGAAACUCGCCUACAUGAAGCCGGAGUUGCUAGUAAUCGCGAAUCAGAAUGUCGCGGUGAAUACGUUCCCGGGUCUUGUACACACCGCCCGUCACACCAUGAGAGUUGGCAAUACCCAACGUCCGUGAGCUAACCGCAAGGAGGCAGCGGCCUAAGGUAGGGUCAGCGAUUGGGGUGAAGUCGUAACAAGGUAGCCGUA
RNAcentral lists this ribosomal RNA (451 nucleotides) under uncultured bacterium. Its description in RNAcentral is "bacterial SSU rRNA". It matches the Rfam family "Bacterial small subunit ribosomal RNA", at positions 1052 to 1504 of the family's 1533-position model. The record is from RNAcentral.